AGUGAACGCUGGCGGUAGGCCUAACGCAUGCAAGUCGAACGGCAGCACAGUAAGAGCUUGCUCUUACGGGUGGCGAGUGGCGGACGGGUGAGGAAUACAUCGGAAUCUACUUUUUCGUGGGGGAUAACGUAGGGAAACUUACGCUAAUACCGCAUACGACCUACGGGUGAAAGCAGGGGAUCUUCGGACCUUGCGCGAUUGAAUGAGCCGAUGUCGGAUUAGCUAGUUGGCGGGGUAAAGGCCCACCAAGGCGACGAUCCGUAGCUGGUCUGAGAGGAUGAUCGGCCACACUGGAACUGAGACACGGUCCAGACUCCUACGGGAGGCAGCAGUGGGGAAUAUUGGACAAUGGGCGCAAGCCUGAUCCAGCCAUACCGCGUGGGUGAAGGAGGCCUUCGGGUUGUAAAGCCCUUUUGUUGGGAAAGAAAAGCAGCAGGUUAAUACCCCGCUGUUCUGACGGUACCCAAAGAAUAAGCACCGGCUAACUUCGUG
RNAcentral lists this ribosomal RNA (492 nucleotides) under uncultured bacterium. RNAcentral's name for it is "partial 16S ribosomal RNA". It matches the Rfam family "Bacterial small subunit ribosomal RNA", at positions 29 to 507 of the family's 1533-position model. The record is from RNAcentral.